RNAcentral lists this ribosomal RNA (253 nucleotides) under uncultured Dysgonomonas sp. RNAcentral describes it as "partial 16S ribosomal RNA". It matches the Rfam family "Bacterial small subunit ribosomal RNA", at positions 524 to 776 of the family's 1533-position model. Lineage: Bacteria; Pseudomonadati; Bacteroidota; Bacteroidia; Bacteroidales; Dysgonomonadaceae. The record is from RNAcentral.
UACGGAGGAUCCAAGCGUUAUCCGGAUUUAUUGGGUUUAAAGGGUGCGCAGGCGGGGCAUUAAGUCAGCGGUGAAAUCUCGACGCUUAACGUCGACACUGCCGUUGAAACUGAUACCCUUGAGUAUAGAUGAAGUAGGCGGAAUUCGUUGUGUAGCGGUGACAUGCUUAGAUAUAACGAGGAACACCAAUUGCGUAGGCAGCUUACUAAACUAUAACUGACGCUCAUGCACGAAAGCGUGGGGAUCAAACAGG